Molecule: ribosomal RNA, 392 nt
Filed under: uncultured bacterium
Lineage: Bacteria
Description: bacterial SSU rRNA
Rfam family: Bacterial small subunit ribosomal RNA
Source: RNAcentral
AUUGAACGCUGGCGGCAGGCCUAACACAUGCAAGUCGAACGGUAGCACAGGAGAGCUUGCUCUCUGGGUGACGAGUGGCGGACGGGUGAGCAAUGCAUGGGGAGCUGCCCAAUCGAGGGGGAUACCAGCUGGAAACGGCUGCUAAUACCGCAUACGCCCUGAGGGGAAAGGUGGGGACCUUCGGGCCUACCGCGAUUGGAUGCACCCAUGUGGGAUUAGCUAGUUGGUGAGGUAACGGCUCACCAAGGCGACGAUCUCUAGCUGGUCUGAGAGGAUGACCAGCCACACUGGAACUGAGACACGGUCCAGACUCCUACGGGAGGCAGCAGUGGGGAAUAUUGCACAAUGGGGGAAGCCUGACCCAGCAACGCCGCGUGGAGGAAGACGGCCUU